AUUGAACGCUGGCGGCAGGCCUAACACAUGCAAGUCGAGCGGAUGAAGGGAGCCUGCUCCUGGCUUCAGCGGCGGACGGGUGAGUAAUGCCUAGGAAUCUGCCUGGUAGUGGGGGAUAACGUCCGGACACGGGCGCUAAUACCGCAUCCGUCCUGAGGGUGAAAGUGGGGGAUCUUCGGACCACACGCUAUUUGCUGAGCCUAGGUCGGAUUAGCUAGUUGGUGGGGUAAAGGCCUACCAAGGCGACGAUCCGUAACUGGUCUGAGAGGAUGAUCAGUCACACUGGAACUGAGACACGGUCCAGACUCCUACGGGAGGCAGCAGUGGGGAAUAUUGGACAAUGGGCGAAAGCCUGAUCCAGCCAUGCCGCGUGUGUGAAGAAGGUCUUCGGAUUGUAAAGCACUUUAAGUUGGGAAGAAGGGCAGUAAGUUAAUACCUUGCUGUUUUGACGUUACCAACAGAAUAAGCACCGGCUAACUUCGUG
This 484-nucleotide ribosomal RNA is filed under the name uncultured bacterium. RNAcentral describes it as "partial 16S ribosomal RNA". It matches the Rfam family "Bacterial small subunit ribosomal RNA", at positions 30 to 507 of the family's 1533-position model. The record is from RNAcentral.